This 246-nucleotide long non-coding RNA is filed under the name Elaeis guineensis (African oil palm). RNAcentral's name for it is "long non-coding RNA (EGUI_LNC058618)". The record is from RNAcentral. Lineage: Eukaryota; Viridiplantae; Streptophyta; Magnoliopsida; Arecales; Arecaceae.
CUGAAAGGAAGAACACUUUCUUUGUUUCUCAUGCAUGGAAGCCCAACCCACUCUCAACUUUUAACAUCCCCUCUCUCAAGUUUCUCACACCAAAAAUCACUUCUAAUCUCAUACAAAACUGAUCCCCUUUUAUGAAGGAACCAGAUCUAGGGUUUCAGGGUUAGAUCUUGAAACUUUUUCAAGAUCAUACAGCGGAAGACUAAAAUAAAUCAAAAUUUAUUUUCUAAAAUUAAAAAAUCUCUAGAU